AUUGAACGCUGGCGGCAUGCCUUACACAUGCAAGUCGAACGGCAGCACGGGUGCUUGCACCUGGUGGCGAGUGGCGAACGGGUGAGUAAUACAUCGGAACAUGUCCUGUAGUGGGGGAUAGCCCGGCGAAAGCCGGAUUAAUACCGCAUACGAUCUACGGAUGAAAGCGGGGGACCUUCGGGCCUCGCGCUAUAGGGUUGGCCGAUGGCUGAUUAGCUAGUGGGUGGGGUAAAGGCCUACCAAGGCGACGAUCAGUAGCUGGUCUGAGAGGACGAUCAGCCACACGGGAACUGAGACACGGCCCAGACUCCUACGGGAGGCAGCAGGGGGGAAUUUUGGACAAUGGGCGAAAGCCUGACCCAGCAAUGCCGCGUGGGUGAAGAAGGCCUUCGGGUUGUAAAGCCCUUUUGUCGGGAAAGAAAAGCAGGACGUUAAUACGGUGGGGGUCUGACGGUACCGAAAGAAUAAGCACGGGCUAACUUCGUG
Molecule: ribosomal RNA, 486 nt
Filed under: uncultured bacterium
Lineage: Bacteria
Description: partial 16S ribosomal RNA
Rfam family: Bacterial small subunit ribosomal RNA
Source: RNAcentral